CGCAUGACAAAAACAAAAAAAAAUCGACGGGGCCGCGCACAAGGGGAAGAAUAUGUGGAAAAAUUAGAACCAACGGGAAGAACCUCAGCAGGUGGCGACAUCUUUCGACAACCUUAGAGAUAGGGCUUCUCCUUGGGGGGCAGAGUGACAGGUGGUGCAUGGUUGUCGUCAGCUCGUGUCGUGAGAUGUUGGGUUAAGUCCCGCAACGAGCGCAACCCUUGAUCUUAGUUGCCCGCAUUCAGUUGGGCACUUUAAGGUGACUGCCGGUGACAAACCGGAGGAAGGUGGGGAUGACGUCAAAUCAUCAUGCCCCUUAUGACCUGGGCUACACACGUGCUACAAUGGGCAGAACAAAGGGCAGCGAAGCCGCGAGGGUAAGCCAAUCCCACAAAUCCGUUCUCAGUUCGGAUCGCAGUCUGCAACUCGACUGCAUGAAGCUGGAAUCGCUAGUAAUCGCGGAUCAGCAUGCCGCGGUGAAUACGUUCCCGGGCCUUGUACACACCGCCCGUCACACCACGAGAGUUUGUAACACCCGAAGUCGUAGAGGUAACCCUUUGGAGCCAGCCGCCGAAUAGGU
Molecule: ribosomal RNA, 577 nt
Filed under: Bacillus licheniformis
Lineage: Bacteria; Bacillati; Bacillota; Bacilli; Caryophanales; Bacillaceae
Description: bacterial SSU rRNA
Rfam family: Bacterial small subunit ribosomal RNA
Source: RNAcentral